RNAcentral lists this ribosomal RNA (238 nucleotides) under uncultured bacterium. RNAcentral's name for it is "partial 16S ribosomal RNA". It matches the Rfam family "Bacterial small subunit ribosomal RNA", at positions 102 to 334 of the family's 1533-position model. The record is from RNAcentral.
CCGACGGGUGAGUAACACGUAUGCAAUCCACCUGUAACAGGGGGAGUAACCCGGAGAAAUCCGACUAAUACCCAUAAUAUGGGCGCUCCGCAUGGAGAGUCCAUUAAAGAGAGCAAUCUUGGUUACAGACGAGCAUGCGCUCCAUUAGCCAGUUGGCGGGGUAACGGCCCACCAAGGCGACGAUGGAUAGGGGUUCUGAGAGGAAGGUCCCCCACAUUGGAACUGAGACACGGUCCAA